AGAGUUUGAUCCUGGCUCAGAUUGAACGCUGGCGGCAUGCCUUACACAUGCAAGUCGAACGGCAGCACGGGUGCUUGCACCUGGUGGCGAGUGGCGAACGGGUGAGUAAUAUAUCGGAACGUACCUUAUCGUGGGGGAUAACGCAGCGAAAGCUGCGCUAAUACCGCAUACGCCCUGAGGGGGAAAGCGGGGGACCGUAAGGCCUCGCGCGAUUAGAGCGGCCGAUAUCUGAUUAGCUUGUUGGUGGGGUAAAAGCCCACCAAGGCGACGAUCAGUAGCUGGUCUGAGAGGACGAUCAGCCACACUGGGACUGAGACACGGCCCAGACUCCUACGGGAGGCAGCAGUGGGGAAUUUUGGACAAUGGGGGCAACCCUGAUCCAGCAAUGCCGCGUGAGUGAAGAAGGCCUUCGGGUUGUAAAGCUCUUUUGUCAGGGAAGAAACAGCAGCUCUAACACAGUCUGCGAAUGACGGUACCUGAAGAAUAAGCACCGGCUAACUACGUGCCAGCAGCCGCGGUAAUACGUAGGGUGCAAGCGUUAAUCGGAAUUACUGGGCGUAAAGCGUGCGCAGGCGGUUAUACAAGACAGGCGUGAAAUCCCCGGU
RNAcentral lists this ribosomal RNA (605 nucleotides) under uncultured freshwater bacterium. RNAcentral describes it as "bacterial SSU rRNA". It matches the Rfam family "Bacterial small subunit ribosomal RNA", at positions 8 to 607 of the family's 1533-position model. The record is from RNAcentral.